UACGGAGGGGGCGAGCGUUAUUCGGAAUUAUUGGGCGUAAAGGGCGCGUAGGCGGCUGGGCAAGUCAAAGGUGAAAUCCCUCGGCUCAACUGAGGAACUGCCUUUGAAACUGCCUGGCUUGAGGCCGGGAGGGGGUAGCGGAAUUCCCAGUGUAGCGGUGAAAUGCGUAGAUAUUGGGAGGAACACCGAUGGCGAAGGCAGGUCACUGGGCCGCAACUGACGCUGAGGAGCGAAAGCAUGGGGAGCGAACAGG
RNAcentral lists this ribosomal RNA (253 nucleotides) under uncultured bacterium. RNAcentral's name for it is "partial 16S ribosomal RNA". It matches the Rfam family "Bacterial small subunit ribosomal RNA", at positions 524 to 776 of the family's 1533-position model. The record is from RNAcentral.